This 273-nucleotide ribosomal RNA is filed under the name Triticum aestivum (bread wheat). Its description in RNAcentral is "partial small subunit ribosomal RNA". Lineage: Eukaryota; Viridiplantae; Streptophyta; Magnoliopsida; Poales; Poaceae. The record is from RNAcentral.
AUGUCGCCUUCGAGUUCGCCGGAGGAAGAGACGCCGAGUUCGACGGAGGUAGAAGAACAUCCGUCGAGCCGUCCAAUAUCGACAACGGCGGCUACAGCAGAGGUAUGUAGCCCCUUGAAAGCCAAAUCACUACAAAGGAAAUCAAGGGUAGCCCCUGUUUCUCUGUCUGCCACAGAAUUGCGAACCUAUUCUUUUAUUCAGUACAUAGUUCAACAGUUUUUAGCAAAGUUUCAGUUAUUUUCUAACUGCUUUCUUCAGAGUUCAGAAAUUUGA